GUCUACGGCCAUACCACCCUGAACGCGCCCGAUCUCGUCUGAUCUCGGAAGCUAAGCAGGGUCGGGCCUGGUUAGUACUUGGAUGGGAGAAGAGGACAAGUGAAGAAGGAA
RNAcentral lists this ribosomal RNA (111 nucleotides) under Neogale vison (American mink). The record is from RNAcentral. Lineage: Eukaryota; Metazoa; Chordata; Mammalia; Carnivora; Mustelidae.